UCACCGUUUGGUCUUUUGGAAAAUGUUUGUGCUGUAUUAAGACCCUUCUACAACGUAAUUUGCAUUAAAUGCACACGUAUAAAAUUUGCGUUUUUUAUCCAACGCAAUCAUAGGUUUGAACGUAGUUUUCAAUUUAGACUUGUAUAUACAUAUAACAAUGUAUAAUGAAUCAUCAUUAUCAGGAAAUUAUUAAAGGCAUUUACCGAGAAGUGUUACAAACAAACAUUUCUU
This 231-nucleotide long non-coding RNA is filed under the name Mytilus galloprovincialis (Mediterranean mussel). The record is from RNAcentral. Lineage: Eukaryota; Metazoa; Mollusca; Bivalvia; Mytilida; Mytilidae.